Lolium perenne is the source of this 1605-nucleotide long non-coding RNA. RefSeq lists it as uncharacterized. NCBI's taxonomy places the organism in Eukaryota, Viridiplantae, Streptophyta, Magnoliopsida, Poales, Poaceae. The record is from RefSeq and is a predicted model, not a curated record.
GUCUCAGUCAACAGGGCAAACCGGCAAGAAAAAAGAAAUUAAAGAAGAGCCGGACAGGUAUGUUGUCACUGCUCUAUUUCUUCCUGACGUCUCCUUACCCUAUCCCUUCCCCAAUUGGUUCUGGUUUGCCCUGCCUCCUCCUCACUCACGCCGCCAUGGCCAUGCCUCCUGCCUCCUCUCACUCACGCCGCCACCUCCCGUCCUCGGCCCGCGCUCUCACAGCUGCCUACCCUCCGGCGCCGAGCUAACCCGCCUCCCUCCAGCGCUAUAACGGCCACCCGCCCACCGGCGCACGGUUCCGGCUGCCGGCCGUCCCAUCCGCCGGCGCCGGGCCACCCCUCCAUCGGCUAGAUCUCACGGCCGCCCCUCCCUCCGGCGCUGAGCCAACCUGCCAUCGGGCGCAAGGUUCCGGCUGCAGGCCGCCCCGCCUCCGGCGUCGAGCCACAUCGCCAUUGGCCGCAGGCGGCCCCUACUUCGCCGCGUCCGUGGCAGCUUCGUUCGGGCUCCCGCCGCGCGCCUAGACUGGCUUCGCUCCUCCUCACCUCCUGCUAGGCAAUGGCGGGCGUCGUCGUUCCUCCAAAAUAGCUGCUCCCGCACGUCUUGCAGGAGGAUGGGGACACGACACCACGUGUGUCCACCCCAACCUGGACCGGCUCACCGUGGUGCAUCCCCGUGGCUCUCUCCUUCUUGCCGCGGCUGCCAUGGAUCUCCUUCUGAUUAUCGGCGUCGCCGACUCGAUUGUGUGCGGUGCGCGCGUGGUAAUCGACACAGGUGGAGAGGGGAAGAGGGAAUACCUUGAUGCCGGUGGGCGAUUGCUAGCUGCCUGGAGGAUUCGUCGCUUGAGAGAAAAAGGGAAUUCUACUACUCUGUCCGGCCCUAAAUAUUUGUCAGAACUGAUCAGGUUCAUGAGACAGCAAGGCCAAUUUGCGUGAAAGAUUACAAACAGAAAUUUCUCCAGGAAAGGAAACGACUUCUUCCACUGUUCUAUUGGUAUUACUUCCAGAAUAGCCUACUCCUGCACCCAGGACGUGUAAGUGCUAACAGGCUACUUCUGCAGUUUAUUUAUCCCCCUGGCUACUUGAUCGUUUUAUCUCUACUAAGGUUCUAUUUCUCCCUCAACGUGUUGCUCAUCAUGAUCGAUUCUGGCCAAAGAGGAUCCGUGAAAGUUCUUUUAAGAGGAACCUGGCUAGUGAAGACGGCAAGCUUGGCGACGAAGGUCUUUUUACUCGAUGGUGACUUUGGUCAGCGAGAUGAAGAAGACGGCUGACAACGACUUUGGUCAGCGAGAUGAAGAAGAUGGCUGACAGCGACUUUGGUCAGCGCGAUGAAGACGACGGCCAAUAGUGACCCUGGUUGUGGUCAGCGUGAUGAAGACGAUAGUGCCAUUUCAAAUUUUGAAAAGCUAUGUCUAAUGGCGUGUUAGUUGCGAAAUAGUAGGUGUUUGUUGUGCCAUUUAAAAUUUUGAAAAGCUACGCCUCAGGACGUGACACGGGUUGGAGUUGUUUUGUUAGUUGUGUUUUAUUUGUUCCGCGCGCAGUUUUAUUUUUCAAGAUUGUGUUGAGAUAAAUCAUCUUGGUAGGAUAAAGAAGUGUUAGUUGAGAAAUA